This 160-nucleotide small nuclear RNA is filed under the name Solanum tuberosum (potato). Its description in RNAcentral is "U1 spliceosomal RNA". It matches the Rfam family "U1 spliceosomal RNA". From Rfam's summary of the family: U1 is a small nuclear RNA (snRNA) component of the spliceosome (involved in pre-mRNA splicing). Its 5' end forms complementary base pairs with the 5' splice junction, thus defining the 5' donor site of an intron. Lineage: Eukaryota; Viridiplantae; Streptophyta; Magnoliopsida; Solanales; Solanaceae. The record is from Rfam by way of RNAcentral.
AUACUUACCUGGACGGGGUCAAUGGGUGAUCAAUAAGACUCAUGGCCUAGGCUUGUGACCUCCAUUGCACUUUGGAGGGGUGCCUGCCUAAGGUCGGCCCAAGUGGUCGAGCCUGCGUCAUAAUUUGUUGCAGCGGGGGAUUGCGUUCGCGCAGCCCCUA